GGCUGUCGUCAGCUCGUGUCGUGAGAUGUUGGGUUAAGUCCCGCAACGAGCGCAACCCACGUCUUUAGUUGCCAGCAUUUAGUUGGGCACUCUAGAGAGACCGCCGGUGAUAAACCGGAGGAAGGUGUGGAUGACGUCAAGUCAUCAUGCCCCUUACAUCCUGGGCUACACACGUACUACAAUGCUACGGACAAAGGGCGGCAAACUCGCGAGAGCUAGCAAAUCCCAUAAACCGUGGCUCAGUUCAGAUCGUAGGCUGCAACUCGCCUACGUGAAGGAGGAAUCGCUAGUAAUCGCGGGUCAGCAUACUGCGGUGAAUACGUUCCCGGGCCUUGUACACACCGCCCGUCACACCAUGGAAGUUGGCCACGCCCGAAGUCGUUACUCCAACCCUUGUGGAGGAGGAUGCCGAAGGUGGGGCUGAUGACUGGGGUGAAGUCGUAACAAGGUAGCCGUACCGGAAGGUGCGGCUGGAUCACCUCCUAA
RNAcentral lists this ribosomal RNA (486 nucleotides) under uncultured cyanobacterium. RNAcentral's name for it is "bacterial SSU rRNA". It matches the Rfam family "Bacterial small subunit ribosomal RNA", at positions 1047 to 1533 of the family's 1533-position model. Lineage: Bacteria; Bacillati; Cyanobacteriota. The record is from RNAcentral.